CAGGUGGACGCGGGAAGAAAUUUCUGAGGAAAGUCCGAGCAUCACAGAGCAGGAUAGCUGUUAACGGCAGCCGAGGGCGACCUUAGGGCAAGUGCAACAGAGAUAUACCGCCUGUUUUACAGGUAAGGGUGGAAAGGCGAGGUAAGAGCUCACCGGGGCAGCAGAGAUGCCGCCGCCAUGUAAACCCUAUCCGAUGCAACGCCGAUUGGUUCGGAGAAUAAUGCGUCUGCUCGGCGCACUUCGAUUAAGGCGGCUACAUUGCGAAAGCAAGACAAGUCUGUCGGCGACGGCAGAAUUAGAUAGAUGUUCACCCAACGACAAAACUCGGCUUAUCGAUUUAGUU
RNAcentral lists this RNase P RNA (343 nucleotides) under uncultured Ruminiclostridium sp. Its description in RNAcentral is "Bacterial RNase P class A". It matches the Rfam family "Bacterial RNase P class A". Rfam says of the family: Ribonuclease P (RNase P) is a ubiquitous endoribonuclease, found in archaea, bacteria and eukarya as well as chloroplasts and mitochondria. Its best characterised activity is the generation of mature 5'-ends of tRNAs by cleaving the 5'-leader elements of precursor-tRNAs. Lineage: Bacteria; Bacillati; Bacillota; Clostridia; Eubacteriales; Oscillospiraceae. The record is from RNAcentral.